Molecule: ribosomal RNA, 193 nt
Filed under: uncultured Pseudomonas sp.
Lineage: Bacteria; Pseudomonadati; Pseudomonadota; Gammaproteobacteria; Pseudomonadales; Pseudomonadaceae
Description: partial 16S ribosomal RNA
Rfam family: Bacterial small subunit ribosomal RNA
Source: RNAcentral
CCUACGGGAGGCAGCAGUGGGGAAUAUUGGACAAUGGGCGAAAGCCUGAUCCAGCCAUGCCGCGUGUGUGAAGAAGGUCUUCGGAUUGUAAGCACUUUAAGUUGGGAGGAAGGGCAGUUACCUAAUACGUGAUUGUUUUGACGUUACCGACAGAAUAAGCACCGGCUAACUCUGUGCCAGCAGCCGCGGUAAU